Camelina sativa (false flax) is the source of this 1063-nucleotide non-coding RNA. Lineage: Eukaryota; Viridiplantae; Streptophyta; Magnoliopsida; Brassicales; Brassicaceae. The record is from RefSeq and is a predicted model, not a curated record.
CUCUCUCUCUCUCUCUCUCUCUCUCUCUCUCUCUCUCUCUCUCUCUCUCUCUCUUUGCCUUUUCCUUUAUCUCUGAUUAAUGGAUUCUGACUGAGUAUUACACUUGUUCGGUCUUAAUUGUCUUGGGCGGAGAAGCACAAUCAGAACAAUCCGAGAGCGAUGGAGGAUAGGAUCAAAGCAAAGACGAUGAGCCCUUCUUCUUUGAAGAUGAUAUUUCCAUGGAUGUUUGAUGAGACUCAUUCCUUGAUGCCAAUUCAAAUCUGCUAUGGCUCCUUCUUCAUCACCUCUUCGUACUACAAGUGAAGCAGAUGAGAAGUAUGCGAAUGUGAAAUGGGAAGAGCUUGGAUUUUCUCUGACCAGAUCACAUGUAUGUAGUCAAAUGUAGACAAGGUGAGAGCUUUUCACAAGGAAAGAUCAUUUCUUAUGGGGAUAUUUCAAUCAGCCCUUGUCCACCGAUUCUCAAUUAUGGCCAGAUACGUUUUCUUCUCUUACCACUUGUGGCUAAAUCUCACUGAUUGUAGGAGCUUUGGGUUUUAUUAGAAAACAGGAUUAAGAAACUUGAAGCCUUUAAUCUCUAAAUGAGUGAGAAAAUGAUCUGUAUAGUCAUAUCUUGUGUAUAGUUGUUUGAACUGAGUGUGAUAGCCAGCAAAAGUUUAUAACUUUAGCGUCUAUAUAUACGUUUUGAUUAUUGGUUUGGCUCUUUGUAGGGACUAUUUGAAGGUCUCAAAGCUUACAGGUAGAAAAUCGAAGAGCUUCGUGCUUGUAACAUCUUCAUUGUCAAGAUUGUAUAAAGAGGAAGCAAAAGACAACGACUCCCUUGAAAAGACCUCUUCGGAUACAAUUAGAUUUGAUUGAGCAACUUCUUUAGUGGAGGAAUACUUUUGAUUAAGUUCUAAGUGGGUUACUUUAAUUAGUUUAGUAUUAAUUUUAUAAUUAAUUAAUUUCUGAGUAACUUAGGAGGGGUACUGGAGUGGAGAUGCCUUAUGUAUUUACUCUUUAAGAAAAACAAGGUCCUAUUUACUAUUAUUAAAACUAUGUGAGAUGUGACUUCAGAUAACAUAUA